Molecule: long non-coding RNA, 289 nt
Organism: Eleginops maclovinus (Patagonian blennie)
Lineage: Eukaryota; Metazoa; Chordata; Actinopteri; Perciformes; Eleginopidae
Exons: 2
Source: RefSeq, a predicted model, not a curated record
UGGUCACAGCAGUCUGCUGUGUUUUUCCUCCUCCUGGGUUUGCCACUCCCCCUGUCGGUCUCACUUCACACCUGGCCGUCAUCUGCAAUCAUGCUCACCUGGUCGUCAUCUCCAAUCAACUCCCCUUCAUAAACCCUUGGAUUCCCUGCUGUCGGUGCCAGAUCGUACUUCGCUCUACAGUGUUAUCCGGAUCACGCACUCCAGCUCGCCUGCCUCACCCUCCCCCCGGCUUCCGCGUCCUCUACCUGCUCCUCCACCUCAUUCAAUAAACCCCCUUGCAUCAAUUCAA